This is a long non-coding RNA of Salvelinus namaycush (lake trout), 218 nucleotides long. RefSeq lists it as uncharacterized. Lineage: Eukaryota; Metazoa; Chordata; Actinopteri; Salmoniformes; Salmonidae. The record is from RefSeq and is a predicted model, not a curated record. The transcript is spliced from 3 exons.
GGUGCUUCCCAUGUCUGUGCUGCUCUGUCGCCAGUGAUAUGGAUGAGUGUUGUCUGUGUGGGUCUUCCAUGGCCAUGCGCACCAUGUACCCCACCAAAUACAACAUUAGGGGCUCCCUGUGUGGGGACUUCUGUGCCGUCUUGUGGUGUCAGCUGAAAAGAGACAUAGCCCUAUGCAAGGAGCAGGGGAUCUUCUGAGCUAAGAUGGCGCCAGAGACC